This is a non-coding RNA of Labrus bergylta (ballan wrasse), 381 nucleotides long. The record is from RefSeq and is a predicted model, not a curated record. Lineage: Eukaryota; Metazoa; Chordata; Actinopteri; Labriformes; Labridae.
ACGCUUGAAGAGCUUCACCACGACGGAAAUCAAGUGGAUCAUUGCUCGUCGUUUCCAGCUGACAGGACGCUGGAAAUCGGAAACUACAAGCCGGGUGUAAACACCGGAGCCAGCCGGCCGCAGCAUCCAUCUUUCGGCGAGAGGACGCCGGCUACAACACCAUUGCCUGCUGAGGUUCGGGGCCGAUAAGCAGAUCGCUUCUCUCGGUUCGAGUGACUGUGCCUGUGGGAGGAUUUCAGGAGCUGAUCUUCAUGCAGAGGAGUUUGCAUCGGGAUCAUCCAGGCGCCCAACGUGAGGGUCCUGCUGGAACGAGAGGACCAGAGGGACGUCAGGGAGAGAAGGGAACCAAGGGAGAAACAGGUGCUGUUGGACCCCCAGGAA